GACAGAGGGUGCAAACGUUGCUCGGAAUUACUGGGCGUAAAGCGCGUGUAGGCGGGCAGAUAAGUCGGGUGUGAAAUCCCUGGGCUCAACCUAGGAACUGCAUCCGAAACUGCCUUUCUGGAGUGAUGGAGAGGAAAGCGGAAUUCCCGGUGUAGAGGUGAAAUUCGUAGAUAUCGGGAGGAACACCAGUGGCGAAGGCGGCUUUCUGGCCAUCAACUGACGCUGAGACGCGAAAGCGUGGGGAGCAAACAGG
This 253-nucleotide ribosomal RNA is filed under the name uncultured bacterium. RNAcentral describes it as "partial 16S ribosomal RNA". It matches the Rfam family "Bacterial small subunit ribosomal RNA", at positions 524 to 776 of the family's 1533-position model. The record is from RNAcentral.